GCACCAGCAAAAUCUGGUGCCGGGAUUGGCGUCCCGUUUUAUGUAUACGACGACACUGACGCGUUAGCGUCUUUUUU
Molecule: small RNA, 77 nt
Filed under: Enterobacter cloacae
Lineage: Bacteria; Pseudomonadati; Pseudomonadota; Gammaproteobacteria; Enterobacterales; Enterobacteriaceae
Description: isrK
Rfam family: isrK Hfq binding RNA
Source: RNAcentral